GAUGAACGCUGGCGGUAUGCUUAACACAUGCAAGUCGAACGGACUCUUCGGAGUUAGUGGCGGACGGGUGAGUAACGCGUGAGAAUCUGGCUUUGGGUUCGGGACAACCACUGGAAACGGUGGCUAAUACCGGAUGUGCCGAGAGGUAAAAGAGAAAUUGCCUGAAGAUGAGCUCGCGUCUGAUUAGCUAGUUGGUGAGGUAAAGGCGCACCAAGGCAGCGAUCAGUAGCUGGUCUGAGAGGAUGACCAGCCACACUGGGACUGAGACACGGCCCAGACUACUACGGGAGGCAGCAGGGAGGAAUUUUCCGCAAUGGGCGAAAGCCUGACGGAGCAAUACCGCGUGAGGGAAGAAGGCUCUUGGGUUGAAAACCUCUUUUCUUAGGGAAGAACAAAAUGACGGUACCUAAGGAAUAAGCAUCGGCUAACUCCGUG
Molecule: ribosomal RNA, 435 nt
Filed under: uncultured bacterium
Lineage: Bacteria
Description: partial 16S ribosomal RNA
Rfam family: Bacterial small subunit ribosomal RNA
Source: RNAcentral